RNAcentral lists this ribosomal RNA (301 nucleotides) under uncultured bacterium. RNAcentral's name for it is "partial 16S ribosomal RNA". It matches the Rfam family "Bacterial small subunit ribosomal RNA", at positions 509 to 808 of the family's 1533-position model. The record is from RNAcentral.
CAGUCGCCACGGUAGUACGUAGGGGGCAAGCGUUGUCCGGAAUUAUUGGGCGUAAAGCGCGCGCAGGCGGUUUUUUAAGUCUGGUGUCUAAGUGCGGGGCUCAACCCCGUGACGCACUGGAAACUGGGAGACUUGAGUGCAGAAGAGGAGAGCGGAAUUCCACGUGUAGCGGUGAAAUGCGUAGAGAUGUGGAGGAACACCAGUGGCGAAGGCGGCUCUCUGGACUGUAACUGACGCUGAGGCGCGAAAGCGUGGGGAGCAAACAGGAUUAGAGACCCCAGUAGUCCCUGUCUCUUAUACA